UACGUAGGGAGCAAGCGUUAUCCGGAUUUACUGGGUGUAAAGGGAGCGCAGACGGAACUGCAAGUCUGAUGUGAAAGCCCGGGGCUCAACCGCGGGACUGCAUUGGAAACUGUAGAUCUGGAGUGCCGGAGGGGCAAGCGGAAUUCCUGGUGUAGCGGUGAAAUGCGUAGAUAUCAGGAGGAACACCGGCGGCGAAGGCGGCUUGCUGGACGGCAACUGACGUUGAGGCUCGAAAGCGUGAGGAGCAAACAGGAUUAGAUA
Molecule: ribosomal RNA, 261 nt
Filed under: uncultured prokaryote
Description: partial 16S ribosomal RNA
Rfam family: Bacterial small subunit ribosomal RNA
Source: RNAcentral